GGCUCAGAUGAAACGCUGGCGGCAUGCCUAACACAUGCAAGUCGAACGAGGCAGCAAUGCCUAGUGGCGGACGGGUGAGGAAUACGUAGGAAUUUGCCCUUAAGUGGGGGAUAACCCGGGGAAACCCGGAUUAAUACCGCAUGAACUCGAGAGAGCAAAGCAGGGGACCGCAAGGCCUUGCGCUUUUGGAGAAGCCUACGUCGGAUUAGCUAGUUGGUAGGGUAAAGGCCUACCAAGGCGACGAUCCGUAACUGGUCUGAGAGGAUGAUCAGUCACACCGGAACUGAGACACGGUCCGGACUCCUACGGGAGGCAGCAGUGGGGAAUAUUGGACAAUGGGGGCAACCCUGAUCCAGCAAUGCCGCGUGUGUGAAGAAGGCCUUCGGGUUGUAAAGCACUUUAGGUUGGGAAGAAAACACUCGAGCUAUAUCUUGAGUCUUGACGGUACCGACAGAAUAAGCACCGGCUAACUCUGUGCCAGCAGCCGCGGUAAUACAGAGGGUGCAAGCGUUAAUCGGAUUUACUGGGCGUAAAGCGUGCGUAGGCGGUUGGUUAAGUCGGAUGUGAGAGCCCUGGGCUCAACCUGGGAAUGGCAUUCGAUACUGAUCAGCUAGAGAACGGUAGAGGGAGGCGGAACUCCAGGUGUAGCAGUGAAAUGCGUAGAUAUCUGGAAGAACACCGAUGGCGAAGGCAACCUCCUGGGCCUGUUCUGACGCUGAGGCACGAAAGCGUGGGGAGCAAACAGGAUUAGAUACCCUGGUAGUCCACGCUGUAAACGAUGAGAACUUGACGUCGGCCUGCUCACGCGGGUCGGUGUCGAAGCUAACGCGCUAAGUUCUCCGCCUGGGGAGUACGACCGCAAGGUUGAAACUCAAAG
Molecule: ribosomal RNA, 877 nt
Filed under: uncultured bacterium
Lineage: Bacteria
Description: bacterial SSU rRNA
Rfam family: Bacterial small subunit ribosomal RNA
Source: RNAcentral